This is a non-coding RNA of Linepithema humile (Argentine ant), 580 nucleotides long. NCBI's taxonomy places the organism in Eukaryota, Metazoa, Arthropoda, Insecta, Hymenoptera, Formicidae. The record is from RefSeq and is a predicted model, not a curated record.
CACAGAAAAAGAUGACUGUCAUGUUUAUUGUGUCAAAUUACUGUCCCAAAAAAAUACGAUAAACAAAGCAAGAAUUCGCAAAAAAAUAUUAUAAAACUAGAUACAGUAGCGCGACAAUUAUUAAAUAAAUAGUGCGAAGUGUUGAAGUGUGUAAGAUCGACAUAAGAGGACAGGAAGCAAUAAAUCGCACGAUGUGACGUUUAGGUUUACAGUAACACAAAUAUAUUUCAUUUUUAUUCGAAAACAACAAACACAUCUAGAGAUCGCAGCGAGAAACUUUGCGCGACCGUAAAAUGCAUAUUUUGCAAAUGUUUAUGUGUUUGUGUGUGUGGACAUCCUCUGCUUCUUUAACACACUCACUCAGGAAGGGACUCAGUUGAUCACAGGACAUCAGCGAACUCGUCGACGAUCCGUACCAAGCCACGUGAGCUUGCGGACCUGAGGAGGUCCCGUCCUCCUUGCAGGACACCGUGAUGCUUAAUACCUGUAUGCGACAAGAUCGAUCGGCAUUUGCUGCACAGCACCUGGCGGGGCCUCAGUCUCACUGUGGGCCUCGCGUUCUUAUACCUGGCGGGCGGAU